RNAcentral lists this long non-coding RNA (665 nucleotides) under Zea mays. RNAcentral describes it as "long non-coding RNA NONZMAT002793". The record is from RNAcentral. Lineage: Eukaryota; Viridiplantae; Streptophyta; Magnoliopsida; Poales; Poaceae.
AAGAUCCUUGGUGGUUGGUGCUAGUCCUAACCCCAACUCCGCCGUUUCAUAACUGAUACAAUGAACAACAACAAAAAACACUUCAAAUUGGUUGUGCCACUUGUGCCCCUCUUUCCAGGCUACCUUAGACCAUAUGUUGAACUAUCCUCCAGUGUUCACUGGCAUCAACGCCUGCUCGCUUUGCCCAGGGCAUGCAUAUUGCCAUGUCUCCCUACAUAGACACAGAUCAAGCGUGUCUCGUGUAAGCCCAGGGUCCCACCAAGUAUCUUCGAGGUUAAUGUUGAUGUUGUCGAGGAUCUGGACAUGGCUCAUAUUCUGGUUCUGAAGACCUCAUGCCAUGCCCAAAGCUGUCUGCCGUCAAGUCAAGGUUAUUAGUAGUAGUAUUCACAUUAGUCCAGAAUCUGAACACGACAGACACUUCGGUUACGAAGAUACCACCACCACCUUAAAAACCGAAGAUAUUAUUCCAUGUGCCCAACCUCCAUGUUUCCUGCGCCGCAAGUAGGGCCGCGCCAUGUGCCCAAAGUGUUGAGUUGUUGAUCCAAAUUAUGCAUAUCAGGGUUCUCGGUUCUCACUGCAUCAUCAUUAUUAUUCUUGUAAGGCCGCUAAAACCGGCGUUAUGUAAACACUCCAUAUUAUACUCUACAUUAUAGUAAAGAUUUCAU